Panicum virgatum (switchgrass) is the source of this 2360-nucleotide long non-coding RNA. RefSeq lists it as uncharacterized. The record is from RefSeq and is a predicted model, not a curated record. Lineage: Eukaryota; Viridiplantae; Streptophyta; Magnoliopsida; Poales; Poaceae. The transcript is spliced from 3 exons.
UUCUCGUGUCUUCCCUAUGAGCUUCCCCCGCCGGCGCUCCUGAUCUUCCAUGGCAAAGGUGCUGAUGGCGGCGGCGAUAGCUGCUCCCCCCGCCGCCCGACCAUCCCCACUUCCGCUUCCACCGUGGGCUCUUUCUCUGGCGCCCCUUUUUCCCCCGCCCGCCCUGCUGGGCUAGUGUUCCCCGCCGGCGCGCUGGUCCUGGCUACGGCCGGCGCCCAACCGCUCCCGAUCUCCUCCUCCCUCCUCGUGAUUCCGUGGCCUAACGCCUUGGCCACACCCGCUUCCACGCCACUUCGGCCGCCGCCUUGCCGCACCUUGCGCAGCUCCAAUCCCUGGUCCCCGCCUCCUCCACAUCACGUCUCCGUCGCCCCCUCCAACAGCCCCGGCUUGCCCUACCUCGAUCUCCGUGCAACGGGAGCAUCUCCCUACGACAAGGUCUGCGUGAUGGAGCUCCCCUACAGCCAUGCGUUGUAGGUGCUCAACUUGGUGAUGAAAAAGAACCUCUUCUAGGGGCGUAAGAUUCUGAGUGAGCAAAGGGUACUGGUAGGAUGAGGCUCCAAUGGAGAGAGCUUUCCAUGCCCUUCGUUUUUGUUUCAGUUCUGAUGCACACAGUACACCAACUGCUUGAUGUAUUUCCCAAACAAAAGAUUGAGUACCUAUAUUCUUGUUCUAUCUAUUUUUUUACGGCUAACCAAUACCAGUAUCCACAUAUUUUGAGCUUAUUCCAGGCCGUGAGAUUCGUCAGUAGCCAACGGGCACUGCCAGGACCAGCCUAAAAUGGAGGAAACUCACAUGUUUCAUGCCUUUCUUUUUUUUUCUUCUGACUUCAAUUCUGGUACACACCAGUGUGUGCAGGUCAGCUGAUACAUGUGUUCAUACACAAGCAUGGAUUAUCUCCACAAAAGAGAUGCAGAGCUUGCCAUUUGAAAAGGAUCUACAUGGAGACAUGGAGGUGCAAGAGGUGAUCCUGUCCAGUCAGCGAUGAGAAUGUGAAAGUGCCAACCUCCGAAAACUUAAUAUUGUUUUGUAUUUAUAAUAUGUUGUGUUAAACCUAUAUGUCCCAGCCAAUAGAUUGCAUAUUAUCCAAAAGGUGCCUACACCUACCUCUUUUGAUCUGUCCACAGCUGCCGACAUGCUGCUCCGAUCUAGCUACAUAAAUAAAAUGUAUUCGGAAAAAAAUACUUGAUUAUUGUCUACAUUGCUCUUUUCGUAUAGCUCAAAUAAAAUCCAUUGAUUUCAUCCUGAUCCAGUGAACAGGUCACAAUUCCGUGCUGGAAUGGAGCUAACCAAUCUGUCAAUCUUGCAAAGCAUAUCAUCUAUGUAUUUGUGUUCUGAUUUUAGAAUAUUAGAGCAACUGCUGAUUUCCAAGAUGACUCCGUUACUUAUAAUUCUGCCCUUGUACUACUUUACUCGAGAAUUGUGAACAACCAUUUUUACCCAUGAUGACUGCUGCAUGCACUCCAUCUGGUUCGUGAAUAGGUCAUGUGCAUACUUCAGGUAAACUUCGUUGGCGAUGACUAUGGGUCAGCCAAAGUAGAGCCACCAUGCUGAAGCAAUGGAUAGGUUAUUUUGAGAUGCAUCCCAUGAACAUGCAUUUAAAUUCUUUUAUCCUUUUAUAAAAUAGGGAACUUCUUAUUAUCCUGUUGUGUGAUUGCAAUGGAUCUUAUGUCUGUUAAUUUUUUGUUGUGCAAGAAAGAGAGGAAAUGAGGUAAGCGGAUGUGCAGAACUCAAAUAGAGUAUGGGUGAGCCUGAAGAAAUCUGAAAUCUUAUUUCAUCAGUCUUUGCCAAUUUAUGUUCCAACAAUGUAGCUCUUAUAGUUCACAUAUAAAAUGACAUCACGGGAAUUUCAUCAUAUGUAUUUGCCCCCUGGUGUGCUGCAGUUCUGAAUUGUAUUUUUUGGCUGCCGGUGAACUUUAAGUGUGAGUUCUCUGCAUACAUUAGCAUUUCUAUUCCCGCCAGUAUCUUUCAUUUUCAAUGAUUAGCUCACCACCAUAACUGAUGUUAUAAUGUUUACUGAAUAACGAGCAUCAUAGUAUAUAAUGUCACUAUAAAAAGUUGGUAAACAAAUAUUGAGUUCUUCUGCAGGAACAUCUGUAACUGUAUCUCUAAUUGAUCUUCUGUGUAAUUUGUUCUGUUAUUUUGGCUUAGAGUGUACAAUUUUUAUAGGGUUUCCAAAUAUGAAUCUACACACGUAUUGUUCUUUACAAACUAUGUUGCUCCUGAAUAGCUGACAAUUUCCAUAAUAUUCUCCCCUUGAUCAUUCAUUUUCCAAUUUAAAGUGCUCCUUGCUUCUUAUUGUCUGCUACAAUUUCAAACCUGUCAGAUAGUGGUUUUCCCUCAUUGAAAACAAUUUUUAAUUA